AAUAUGGAAAUAGGUCUUGAUCAAUGAUACAGGUAAAACUCAGUUGAAUUCCUCAUUGGCUAUGGGAGGGGGGAGAGAGGAGGGGAGGGGAAUAAUGUGAAUCAUGUAGCCAUGGAAAAAUAUAUUAAUUAAUUUUUAAAAAGAAAUAUUACAUUUUACCUGAGUCAUUCUUUAUUUUAUCUCCUUUUCAAAAGUAGUUUUCUAUAUGGCCUCUGGCAUUGUUACUGAGAGAAAACUCAACUCAUUAUGAAUAGAAGAGAUUACAACAUCAGUGAGACUGGCAAGCAUAUGCAAGGAAUGGAAGCUUGAAGGAUUGUCAAUCAAGGAGAGAUGGGAAGAUUCUAAAGAAGAAUCUGGUCAGGAGGGAGGCAGUUAAAUAAGCUAGCACCUGAAACUGGUCAUUCACUCUUUCCUUUUGAACUCUGAGGAAGGAGCUGGCAGACAAACUGCUCUGGAUUCCUGGCUAUUGGCUUCACAUUGAAAGAUUGGAGUAUAACUCUGAAGAUCCUUUCAGUUCAUCAAUAAUAUCCCCUUAAAGACAAAUAACUUUACUUUCCUAUAUUGAAUUUAUAGAAAAUUAGGGAGAUCCUAAUUCCUCUUCCCUCUCCCAAUUCCUUAACCUUACUUCUUUAAAAUAAAUACCUUUUAGAAGGUACUAUAGUAUAUAAU
Molecule: long non-coding RNA, 669 nt
Filed under: Monodelphis domestica (gray short-tailed opossum)
Lineage: Eukaryota; Metazoa; Chordata; Mammalia; Didelphimorphia; Didelphidae
Description: lncRNA (ENSMODG00000046886.1)
Source: RNAcentral